RNAcentral lists this ribosomal RNA (484 nucleotides) under uncultured bacterium. RNAcentral's name for it is "partial 16S ribosomal RNA". It matches the Rfam family "Bacterial small subunit ribosomal RNA", at positions 30 to 507 of the family's 1533-position model. The record is from RNAcentral.
AUUGAACGCUGGCGGCAGGCCUAACACAUGCAAGUCGAGCGGAUGAAGGGAGCUUGCUCCUGGAUUCAGCGGCGGACGGGUGAGUAAUGCCUAGGAAUCUGCCUGGUAGUGGGGGAUAACGUCCGGAAACGGGCGCUAAUACCGCAUACGUCCUGAGGGAGAAAGUGGGGGAUCUUCGGACCUCACGCUAUUAGAUGAGCCUAGGUCGGAUUAGCUAGUUGGUGGGGUAAAGGCCUACCAAGGCGACGAUCCGUAACUGGUCUGAGAGGGUGAUCAGUCACACUGGAACUGAGACACGGUCCAGACUCCUACGGGAGGCAGCAGUGGGGAAUAUUGGACAAUGGGCGAAAGCCUGAUCCAGCCAUGCCGCGUGUGUGAAGAAGGUCUUCGGAUUGUAAAGCACUUUUAGUUGGGAGGAAGGGCAGUAAGAUAAUACCUGGCUGUUUUGACGGUACCUACAGAAUAAGCACCGGCUAACUUCGUG